This 1144-nucleotide ribosomal RNA is filed under the name Alkalicoccobacillus gibsonii. RNAcentral describes it as "bacterial SSU rRNA". It matches the Rfam family "Bacterial small subunit ribosomal RNA", at positions 326 to 1514 of the family's 1533-position model. Lineage: Bacteria; Bacillati; Bacillota; Bacilli; Caryophanales; Bacillaceae. The record is from RNAcentral.
ACGGCCAAGAUCUCUCUUUAUCGGGAAGCAGCAGUAGGAAUCUCGCAUUGACGAAGUCUGACGAGCACGCCGCUGAAUGAUGAUGGCUUCCGCUCGUAAGGCUCUGUUAUUGAGGAAGACACGUAACGUUCGAUAGGCGGUACCUUGACGGUACUCAUCAGAAAGCACGGCUAACUACGUGCCAGCAGCCGCGUUAAUACGUAGGUGGCAAGCGUUGUCCGGAAUUAUUGGGCGUAAAGCGCGCGCAGGCGGCCUUUUUAAGUCUGAUGUGAAAUCUUGCGGGCUCAACCGCAAGCGGCCAUUGGAAACUGGGAGGCUUGAGUACAGAAGAGGAGAGUGGAAUUCCACGUGUAGCGGUGAAAUGCGUAGAUAUGUGGAGGAACACCAGUGGCGAAGGCGACUCUCUGGUCUGUAACUGACGCUGAGGCGCGAAAGCGUGGGGAGCAAACAGGAUUAGAUACCCUGGUAGUCCACGCCGUAAACGAUGAGUGCUAGGUGUUAGGGGUUUCGAUGCCCGUAGUGCCGAAGUUAACACAUUAAGCACUCCGCCUGGGGAGUACGGCCGCAAGGCUGAAACUCAAAGGAAUUGACGGGGGCCCGCACAAGCAGUGGAGCAUGUGGUUUAAUUCGAAGCAACGCGAAGAACCUUACCAGGUCUUGACAUCCUUUGACCACUCUGGAGACAGAGCUUCCCCUUCGGGGGCAAAGUGACAGGUGGUGCAUGGUUGUCGUCAGCUCGUGUCGUGAGAUGUUGGGUUAAGUCCCGCAACGAGCGCAACCCUUGACCUUAGUUGCCAGCAUUUAGUUGGGCACUCUAAGGUGACUGCCGGUGACAAACCGGAGGAAGGUGGGGAUGACGUCAAAUCAUCAUGCCCCUUAUGACCUGGGCUACACACGUGCUACAAUGGAUGGUACAAAGGGUUGCGAAGCCGCGAGGUGAAGCCAAUCCCAUAAAGCCAUUCUCAGUUCGGAUUGUAGGCUGCAACUCGCCUGCAUGAAGCUGGAAUUGCUAGUAAUCGCGGAUCAGCAGGCCGCGGUGUAUAGGUUCCCGGUGCCUCUGCACAAGUCGUAACAAGGUCAACCAUGCUAGAGUUUGAUCCUGGCUCAGGAUAAGUCGUAACAAGGUAACCAUGCUAGAGUAACG